RNAcentral lists this ribosomal RNA (108 nucleotides) under Pantoea ananatis. RNAcentral's name for it is "partial 23S ribosomal RNA". The stretch from base 1 to 88 matches the Rfam family "Bacterial large subunit ribosomal RNA", at positions 2838 to 2925 of the family's 2925-position model. The record is from RNAcentral. Lineage: Bacteria; Pseudomonadati; Pseudomonadota; Gammaproteobacteria; Enterobacterales; Erwiniaceae.
UUGAAGACGACGACGUUGAUAGGCCGGGUGUGUAAGCGCAGCGAUGCGUUGAGCUUACCGGUACUAAUGACCCGUGAGGCUUAACCUUACAACGCCAGAGGCGUUUUG